Molecule: long non-coding RNA, 525 nt
Filed under: Mytilus galloprovincialis (Mediterranean mussel)
Lineage: Eukaryota; Metazoa; Mollusca; Bivalvia; Mytilida; Mytilidae
Source: RNAcentral
CUAUCCACAAAAGACCAAAAUGACACAAACAUUAACAACUAUAGGUCACCGUACGGUCUUCAACAAUGAGCAAAGCCCAUACCGCAUGGUCAGCUAUAAAAGGCCCCGCUAAGACAAUGUAAAACAAUUCAAACGAGAAAAACUAACGGCCUUAUUUAUGUAAAAAAAUGAACGAAAAACAAAUAUGUAACACAUAAACAAACGACAACCACUGAAUCACAGGCUCCUGACUUGGGACAGGAACAUACAUAAAUAAUGUGGCGGGGUUAAACAUGUUAGCGGGAUCCCAACCCUCCCCCUAACCUGGGACAGUGUAUAACAGUACAACAUAAGAACGAACUAUAAAAAUCAGUUGAAAAAGGCUUAACUCAUCAGAUAGACAAAAAAUACAAGUGGACGUGGCCGGGUACUUAUACAUCCCGACACAAAAAGACACAAUGAACAGAUCUGAGAGUACUCGCAGUUAUCUGACAGCUAGUUCAAAGCCACUAACAACUAAUAAAAAAAUCAUGCCUCUAAGACUAA